This 39-nucleotide non-coding RNA is filed under the name Arsenophonus endosymbiont of Trialeurodes vaporariorum. RNAcentral describes it as "JUMPstart". It matches the Rfam family "JUMPstart RNA". The record is from RNAcentral. Lineage: Bacteria; Pseudomonadati; Pseudomonadota; Gammaproteobacteria; Enterobacterales; Morganellaceae.
UAGUGUAGAGGUAGCUAUUAAGCCUGGGGCGGUAGCGUG